UACGUAGGGCGCAAGCGUUAUCCGGAAUUAUUGGGCGUAAAGAGCUCGUAGGCGGUUUGUCGCGUCUGCCGUGAAAGUCCGGGGCUCAACUCCGGAUCUGCGGUGGGUACGGGCAGGACUAGAGUGAUGUAGGGGAGACUGGAAUUCCUGGUGUAGCGGUGAAAUGCGCAGAUAUCAGGAGGAACACCGAUGGCGAAGGCAGGUCUCGUGGGCAUUAACUGACGCUGAGGAGCGAAAGCCGUGGGGAGCGAACAGGA
Molecule: ribosomal RNA, 257 nt
Filed under: uncultured bacterium
Lineage: Bacteria
Description: partial 16S ribosomal RNA
Rfam family: Bacterial small subunit ribosomal RNA
Source: RNAcentral